AAAUGAAUUGACGGGGGAGCACAACAACGGGUGGAGCUUGCGGUUUAAUUGGAUUCAACGCCGGAAAUCUUACCGGGACCGACAGCAACAUGAAGGCCAAGCUGAAGACUUUGCCGGAUUAGCUGAGAGGUGGUGCAUGGCCGUCGUCAGUUCGUACUGUGAAGCAUCCUGUUAAGUCAGGCAACGAGCGAGACCCACGCCCACAGUUGCCAGCGUACUCUCCGGAGUGACGGGUACACUGUGGGGACCGCCGCUGCUAAAGCGGAGGAAGGAAUGGGCAACGGUAGGUCAGUAUGCCCCGAAUAUCCCGGGCCACACGCGAGCUACAAUGGUUGGUACAAUGGGUAUCUACCCCGAAAGGGGACGGAAAUCUCCUAAAACCAAUCUUAGUUCGGAUUGAGGGCUGCAACUCGCCCUCAUGAAGCUGGAAUCCGUAGUAAUCGCGUUUCAACAGAACGCGGUGAAUACGUCCCUGCUCCUUGCACACACCGCCCGU
This 496-nucleotide ribosomal RNA is filed under the name uncultured bacterium. Its description in RNAcentral is "bacterial SSU rRNA". It matches the Rfam family "Archaeal small subunit ribosomal RNA", at positions 858 to 1353 of the family's 1478-position model. The record is from RNAcentral.